GAUCAAGGUAGCUGAUUACAGAAAUCUUGAUCUAUCUUGACCAAGAAACCAGAUCCAAUUUACUACAUCAAGUGGAGAGAGACUAAUAGCAAGAAAUAUAAGCUUUCAAUAGAGAGCAGCUGCGAGUGCCUGCAACAGUGAAGAGAGGUCAGACCUAGUUCAGGCUUACAGCAAGUAAAGAGCAGAGCUUCACUUCAAGCAAGGAAGUUGCUGUGGAAGGCUGGUUGUGAGGCUCAGGCUUAAUAUCACACCACCAAUUUACACAGAAGUGGAGUUCUGGUCAGGAACCUUUCUUGUCUGCCAAACAGGCCAAGAACGUGAAGAAACUUGACUUUCUGGCACCAUUCCACGUGAGAUGCCGGGGAGCUGAGAGCUGGGAAAAGCGGCCCUCCCACCCCUCAGUUCCUUUCAUCUGUGUGGAUCACAACACGGAGUGUCAGUAGAAGAAGGGCUCAGUGGUGAGAGAGCUAGUUUGUACUCAGAGGCAG
Long non-coding RNA from Pezoporus flaviventris, 488 nucleotides. RefSeq lists it as uncharacterized. The record is from RefSeq and is a predicted model, not a curated record. The transcript is spliced from 5 exons. Lineage: Eukaryota; Metazoa; Chordata; Aves; Psittaciformes; Psittacidae.